Myodes glareolus (Bank vole) is the source of this 368-nucleotide non-coding RNA. The record is from RefSeq and is a predicted model, not a curated record. NCBI's taxonomy places the organism in Eukaryota, Metazoa, Chordata, Mammalia, Rodentia, Cricetidae.
UCUGGUUUAUUCUCAGACUCACAUGCAGCUACAUAGCUGACUAGGGAUGGUACCACCCACAGACUUGGCAACUGACUUUGGCAACUCUCCAACUGAGUUUCAGUUUUCCCAGAUGUCAAUUGUCAGUAGCUCUUGAGACAGAGUUUAGACUUCUUCCCCACACCUUCCAUGAUGAAAUUUCAUCUGCCUUGUGAUUACACUUGUCUUGCGAAUGCUGGCAUAACUGCUAUGGCUUCACAUGUACAACUGCCCUGUUAUGUAGAUGUAUGAGGUCACCCCAUGGCAAUGUCUUCUCUGGGCCAAGAGUAGCUCUGACUCUCUUUAUGAACUUCGUGAUAUCUCUGACAUUUCAUCAGCAAACCUUCAUG